This 399-nucleotide long non-coding RNA is filed under the name Pogona vitticeps (central bearded dragon). RNAcentral describes it as "lncRNA (ENSPVIG00000006966.1)". Lineage: Eukaryota; Metazoa; Chordata; Lepidosauria; Squamata; Agamidae. The record is from RNAcentral.
CACCCUUCAUUCAUGAAACUUUUUGGGUUAGAAGGGGGGGAAACCUAGAUCUACGAAAGAGGAUAGAGGAGCUCCUCCCUUUUUCUAGCCUUUUUUUUUUCUAAAAAGGAACCGGAAGUGGCGAGAGGGCGCGUCCGGUCUCUUCCCGACUCUGUGGUCUCCGGGGAAGGCGCUUGCAAGGGGGUCUCCUCGGGAGUUUCCGGCAUCAGGACCUGCAAGGAGGUAACUGGAACCAGAAUUCUAUGUGGCCAGUUCUUCUGUCACCAGAAAAUAACCAUAUGGGAAGAAGGAAAAAGAAGGAAGGAGAUACUGAAAAGGUGAAAAAAGGCAGAAGGGAAGAGAUAAAACAAGAGGGAAACGAAAAUUUCUAGCUUCUCCUGAGUCUGAGGCUUAACAUCU